GCGGCCGCGGGGAGGGCCGGGGCGGUGCGGCCCGGCGCGGCCUUGCGCGGAUGUGGGAUCGCUCCCGGGGGCCGCGCCUCUCUCCGGCGCUGGGGUCGCGGGAGACGUCGUCGGGAGCUCAGUUUCUGGAGGCCCUUCCCCACCCGGCCUCUGCCUCCUCCACUCCCCCGGGCUGGACGGAACGGGGCCUAGCGCGGUGUGCGAGAAUGCCUUCGGGUUUUGUCGUGAUGGGGACAAGUUCACUUAGGCCAGUUGACUAAGAUCAAGCAAAGCUUCGUGAAGUUUCCCUUGGCCCCUACAGUGUUGGCGUCAUAGACAGGAUACUAAAGCUGCUCUACUUUUCUGGAAGCCACAGUCCAGGGAACCCAGGACCUGUCAAAGCAUCAGAAGGCAGCUGGAUCCAUGGGCUUGGCAGCCACAGUGAUCAUGAACUUCCGGCUAUGUCCUAGAGUCAUUUCUCUCUGAGGAUGUCAGGAGGAACCCCAAAAUGUCAUCAAGACACUGGCUGCAGGUCUAAACUCCAAUAAAAUCCAGGUGGGUUACAUCAAUUCAGACAUCUGGAUAAAAGGAUGAAUGAAACCAUGUACAUAAUACAGAACUAUGCAUGCCAGGAAAAGAAAUUAUACUGCCUAAAAGCUGCAACCUUCAUGACAUCAAAUCUAUUUUAACACUGGCUGGUUAUGUGAGGAAAAGGCUAAUAAAAAAAAAAAUUCUGGCUGACCAAAGAA
This is an RNA transcript of Macaca mulatta (Rhesus monkey), 728 nucleotides long. RefSeq lists it as uncharacterized. The record is from RefSeq and is a predicted model, not a curated record. Lineage: Eukaryota; Metazoa; Chordata; Mammalia; Primates; Cercopithecidae.